CCUACGGGAGGCAGCAGUGAGGAAUAUUGGUCAAUGGACGAGAGUCUGAACCAGCCAAGUAGCGUGAAGGAUGACUGCCCUAUGGGUUGUAAACUUCUUUUAUAUGGGAAUAAAGUGUUCCACGUGUGGGAUUUUGUAUGUACCAUAUGAAUAAGGAUCGGCUAACUCCGUGCCAGCAGCCGCGGUAAUACGGAGGAUACGAGCGUUAUCCGGAUUUAUUGGGGUUAAAGGGAGCGUAAGUGGUUUGUUAAGUCAAUUGGGAAAGUUUUCGGCCCAAACGGAAAAUUGCAGUUGAAACUGGGGGUCUUGAGUACGGGAGAGGUAGACGGAAUGCGUGGUGUAGCGGUGAAAUGCUUAGAUAUCACGAAGAACUCCGAUUGCGAAGGCAGCUCACUGGA
Molecule: ribosomal RNA, 398 nt
Filed under: uncultured bacterium
Lineage: Bacteria
Description: partial 16S ribosomal RNA
Rfam family: Bacterial small subunit ribosomal RNA
Source: RNAcentral